RNAcentral lists this ribosomal RNA (253 nucleotides) under uncultured bacterium. RNAcentral's name for it is "partial 16S ribosomal RNA". It matches the Rfam family "Bacterial small subunit ribosomal RNA", at positions 524 to 776 of the family's 1533-position model. The record is from RNAcentral.
UACGGAGGGGGCCAGCGUUGUUCGGAAUUACUGGGCGUAAAGCGCGCGUAGGCGGCUUUGCAAGUCGGGUGUGAAAUCCCCAGGCUUAACCUGGGAACUGCAUUCGAGACUGCAUUGCUAGAGUAUGGGAGAGGGAAGUGGAAUUUCCGGUGUAGCGGUGAAAUGCGUAGAUAUCGGAAGGAACAUCAGUGGCGAAGGCGGUUCUCUGGGCAUUACCUGACGCUGAGGAGCGAAAGUGUGGGGAGCGAACAGG